RNAcentral lists this ribosomal RNA (498 nucleotides) under uncultured bacterium. RNAcentral describes it as "bacterial SSU rRNA". It matches the Rfam family "Bacterial small subunit ribosomal RNA", at positions 29 to 518 of the family's 1533-position model. The record is from RNAcentral.
AUGAACGCUAGCGACAGGCUUAACACAUGCAAGUACGAGGGGUAACAGGGUAGCAAUACCGCUGACGACCGGCGCACGGGUGAGUAACGCGUAUGCAACCUGCCUAUAACUGGGGAAUAGCUCCCUGAAAGGGGGAAUUAACACCGCAUAACACCAUUGAUUCGCAUGGAUUAGUAGUUAAAUGUAGCGAUACAGGUUAUAGAUGGGCAUGCGUGACAUUAGCUAGUUGGUGAGGUAACGGCUCACCAAGGCUACGAUGUCUAGGGGUUCUGAGAGGAAGGUCCCCACACUGGUACUGAGACACGGACCAGACUCCUACGGGAGGCAGCAGUGAGGAAUAUUGGUCAAUGGGCGCAAGCCUGAACCAGCCAUGUCGCGUGCAGGAAGACUGCCCCUAUGGGUUGUAAACUGCUUUUAUAGUAGAAGAAACACAUCUACGUGUAGAUGUCUGCCAGUAUACUAUGAAUAAGCAUCGGCUAACUCCGUGCCAGCAGCUGC